This 253-nucleotide ribosomal RNA is filed under the name uncultured bacterium. RNAcentral describes it as "partial 16S ribosomal RNA". It matches the Rfam family "Bacterial small subunit ribosomal RNA", at positions 524 to 776 of the family's 1533-position model. The record is from RNAcentral.
UACGUAGGGUGCGAGCGUUAAUCGGAAUUACUGGGCGUAAAGCGUGCGCAGGCGGUUUGUUAAGACAGAUGUGAAAUCCCCGGGCUUAACCGAGGAACUGCGCCCAAAACUGCUGUGCUCGAGGGAGACAGAGGUGAGCGGAACUUAGGGUGGAGCGGUGAAAUGCGUUGAUAUCCUAAGGAACACCGGUGGCGAAAGCGGCUCACUGGGUCUCUUCUGACGCUGAGGCACGAAAGCUAGGGGAGCGAACGGG